ACAAAAUGCAUAUGGUCUAUUAAAGUUAAAAAAUUGAAUAAUUCAUCGGAAUUAUUCCUCUAAUUUCAUCAAGAUGACCAGAUCGAAGAACCAUAGAUUGUUCUACUAUUUUCAUUGAUAUGAACGGCAGAAGAUUUAUAUAAAUGAUGAAUAUAUCGAAGAACCAACAAUUCCGAUUGCAAAAGAAGACGACCCAAUUGGUGGUUGUAGGGACGAAAUCUUUAAGUUUUUCAAAUAGAAACCAGGUUCUUUCUUCUGCUUUUUACAAAUUUGAUUUAUCUUCCAUUUGAAAUUUGAAUCGAAUUUUAGUAUAUUCAAAUCAAUUUGGUACACAAUUUUGACUUUUUGCACAAAAAAUUGAGUUGAAAUGAUUCAAUGAUAUAACAGAGAAAGGGAUAGAAGACGAAUGAAGAAAGUUGUUCAGAGAAUCAGAGUAUUUCUCCUCAAACAUCACUUCACAAUCUAUCCGUUCGUGUAUCUUCUGUUACAUAUAUUUUGAUAAAUGUAUUUCAUUGAUAUAAGUUUAAGUGAUCUGAUGGUAAGCAACCCCCACUUCCAACCGAGAGGUUGUGAGUUCGAGUCUCCCCAAGANNN
Molecule: long non-coding RNA, 594 nt
Filed under: Nicotiana benthamiana
Lineage: Eukaryota; Viridiplantae; Streptophyta; Magnoliopsida; Solanales; Solanaceae
Description: long non-coding RNA (NBEN_LNC041144)
Source: RNAcentral